This 408-nucleotide ribosomal RNA is filed under the name uncultured bacterium. RNAcentral describes it as "partial 16S ribosomal RNA". It matches the Rfam family "Bacterial small subunit ribosomal RNA", at positions 28 to 526 of the family's 1533-position model. The record is from RNAcentral.
GACGAACGCUGGCGGCGUGCUUAACACAUGCAAGUCGAACGAAGUGGCGAACGGGUGAGUAACGCGUAAUCAACCUGCCCUUAAGAGGGGGAUAACAGUUGGAAACGACUGCUAAUAACGCAUACUGAAGGAGGGGAGUGUGUGUGAUUAGCUAGUUGGAGGGGUAACGGCCAACGAAGGCGAUGAUAAGUAGCCGGUCUGGGGGGAUGAACGGCCACAUUGGGGCUGGGACACGGCCCAGACUCCUACGGGAGGCAGCAGUUGGGAAUCUUCCGCAAUGGACGAAAGUCUGACGGAGCAACGCCGCGUGAGUGAUGACGGCCUUCGGGUUGUAAAGCUCUGUUAAUCGGGACGCGGUACCGGAAUAGAAAGCCACGGCUAACUACGUGCCAGCAGCCGCGGUAAUUC